GAGAAUCUUUGGGGUCCUUUGCUUAGAGCGAAGUACGGGGACCCACAAUCCUAGAUAGCCAUGCGUGCUGGAUGAGGAGCAUCCUUCAUUUGGCAGGAAGUCUGUGCGCGCACCUCGAGGGUGCUAUAGAAGAUCAAGUGGGAGAUCGGAGAUGGCCGGACAAUCAGGAUCAUGGAGGACAAAUGGUUAUUUGAGGUUCCAUUGUAGGGCC
This 211-nucleotide long non-coding RNA is filed under the name Phoenix dactylifera (date palm). RNAcentral's name for it is "long non-coding RNA (PDAC_LNC000408)". Lineage: Eukaryota; Viridiplantae; Streptophyta; Magnoliopsida; Arecales; Arecaceae. The record is from RNAcentral.